RNAcentral lists this long non-coding RNA (267 nucleotides) under Numida meleagris (helmeted guineafowl). RNAcentral's name for it is "lncRNA (ENSNMEG00000001497.1)". The record is from RNAcentral. Lineage: Eukaryota; Metazoa; Chordata; Aves; Galliformes; Numididae.
AGAACACUGGCAUGUGAGCUGCUGUACCUGACAUGACCAUCAGAUGAGCUCUGGCCAACACAAUGCUGCAGAACCCCUCCUUUCAAGCUUUCUGUGGGAGAAGCCAAAAGCAGCACCUGGAUUCCUACCCCACACCUCCCCUGACUCAUGGGAGACAAAAGACAGUGUCAAGAAUAAUGGAAUGGACGUGGCAAGCAGAACCAGCAGCGCUCUUAUCAGCUGGGGGAGGCAGAGUAGAUCUGAGGAGUGGAACAGACCAGGUACCAG